Molecule: ribosomal RNA, 292 nt
Filed under: uncultured bacterium
Lineage: Bacteria
Description: partial 16S ribosomal RNA
Rfam family: Bacterial small subunit ribosomal RNA
Source: RNAcentral
GUGUCAGCCGCCGCGGUAAUACGGAAGGGGCGAGCGUUGUUCGGAAUCAUUGGGCGUAAAGGGCGCGCAGGUUGUUUUGUAUGUCUACUGUGAAAGUGUACGGCUCAACCGUAUUUUGUCGGUAGAAACUGCAGAACUUGAGGCUGGGAGGGGCUGGUGGAAUUCCCUGUGUAGCGGUGAAAUGCGUAGAGAUGGGGGAGAACACUCGUGGCGAAGGCGGCCAGCUAGACCAGUUCUGACACUGAGGCGCGACAGCGUGGGGAGCAAACAGGAUUAGAAACCCCCGUAGUCC